This 253-nucleotide ribosomal RNA is filed under the name uncultured bacterium. Its description in RNAcentral is "partial 16S ribosomal RNA". It matches the Rfam family "Bacterial small subunit ribosomal RNA", at positions 524 to 776 of the family's 1533-position model. The record is from RNAcentral.
UACGUAGGGCGCAAGCGUUGUCCGGAAUUAUUGGGCGUAAAGAGCGUGUAGGCGGCUUGGUAAGUCCGCUGUGAAAGUCCAGGGCUCAACCCUGGAAUGCCGGUGGAAACUGUCAAGCUUGAGUCCGGAAGAGGCGAGUGGAAUUCCUGGUGUAGCGGUGAAAUGCGCAGAUAUCAGGAGGAACACCAAUGGCGAAGGCAGCUCGCUGGGACGGUACUGACGCUGAGACGCGAAAGCGUGGGGAGCAAACAGG